GAUGAAGAACGUAGCGAAAUGCGAUACGUAGUGUGAAUUGCAGAAUUCAGUGAAUCAUCGAAUCUUUGAACGCACAUUGCACCUCUCGGUAUUCCGGGAGGUAUGCCUGUUCGAGCGUCAUUUGUACCCUCAAGCUCUGCUUGGUGUUGGGUGUUUGUUCCGCCUCUGUGUGUGAACUCGCCUCAAAACAAUUGGCAGCCGGCGUACUUGUUUCGGAGCGCAGCACAUUUUGCGAUCCAGAUCAACGUACAGCGGCAUCCAAGAAGCUUAUUUAACGCUCUUGACCUCGGAUCAGGUAGGGAUACCCGCUGAACUUAAGCAUAUCAAUAAGCGGAGGA
RNAcentral lists this unclassified non-coding RNA (338 nucleotides) under soil metagenome. RNAcentral describes it as "partial contains 5.8S ribosomal RNA, internal transcribed spacer 2, and large subunit ribosomal RNA". The stretch from base 1 to 120 matches the Rfam family "5.8S ribosomal RNA", at positions 35 to 154 of the family's 154-position model. The record is from RNAcentral.